GUGGGGUAAUGGCUCACCAAGGCGACGAUGGGUAGCCGGCCUGAGAGGGUGUCCGGCCACACUGGGACUGAGAUACGGCCCAGACUCCUACGGGAGGCAGCAGUCGAGAGGCUUCGGCAAUGGGGGAAACCCUGACCGAGCGACGCCGCGUGGAGGAUGAAGGCCUUCGGGUCGUAAACUCCUGUCAGCUGGGACGAAACACGGGUCGGCCAAUACCCGAUUCGUUUGACGGUACCAGCAGAGGAAGCUCCGGCUAACUCCGUGCCAGCAGCCGCGGUAAUACGGGGGGAGCAAACGUUGUUCGGAUUCACUGGGCGUAAAGGGGGCGUAGGCGGCUAGGUUAGUGAGACGUGAAAUCCUUCGGCUCAACCGAAGACCUGCGUUUCAAGCUGCCUGGCUUGAGUCCGGGAGGGGAGACGGGAAUUCCUGGUGUAGCGGUGAAAUGCGCAGAUAUCAGGAAGAACACCGGCGGCGAAGGCGCGUCUCUGGACCGGUACUGACGCUGAGGCCCGAAAGCGUGGGGAGCAAACAGGAUUAGAUACCCUGGUAGUCCACGCUGUAAACGAUGGGCACUAGGUGUGGGGGGUAUCGACCCCCUCCGUGCCGCAGCUAACGCAUUAAGUG
RNAcentral lists this ribosomal RNA (624 nucleotides) under uncultured Actinomycetes bacterium. RNAcentral's name for it is "bacterial SSU rRNA". It matches the Rfam family "Bacterial small subunit ribosomal RNA", at positions 252 to 866 of the family's 1533-position model. Lineage: Bacteria; Bacillati; Actinomycetota; Actinomycetes. The record is from RNAcentral.